Molecule: transfer RNA, 69 nt
Filed under: Aulorhynchus flavidus (tube-snout)
Lineage: Eukaryota; Metazoa; Chordata; Actinopteri; Perciformes; Aulorhynchidae
Description: tRNA-Met
Rfam family: tRNA
About the family: Transfer RNA (tRNA) molecules are approximately 80 nucleotides in length. Their secondary structure includes four short double-helical elements and three loops (D, anti-codon, and T loops).
Source: RNAcentral
AGUAGAGUCAGCUAAUUAAGCUUUUGGGCCCAUACCCCAAAAAUGUUGGUUAAACUCCCACCUCUACUA